Molecule: long non-coding RNA, 1898 nt
Organism: Oncorhynchus tshawytscha (Chinook salmon)
Lineage: Eukaryota; Metazoa; Chordata; Actinopteri; Salmoniformes; Salmonidae
Source: Ensembl
GGAUUACAACUGCAACCUGUCUUCCGCUGGGAGCCCUCUGGUACGCUCACACUGAGGGCAUCUGAAGAUUGCCAGGACCAUCCAGAAGUAGGAGGGUACCAGUGUCAUCAGGGUGCUGAAGCAAAGACUUGUGAGGACAAAGGCUGAGAAGGAUGCAACUGUGGCCUGCAAUUCAGGGCGUUCCUGCGUAUGGGCAUUCCUGCAUCUGCAGGAGCCCCUAUUUAUACUUCUAUUGGUCAAGUUUUAAGCUAGGACAGGCGGGAGGCGGGGUCGCUCCAGUACAGUAUGUGGCGUUAAUGCACAAUAAAGUUGCCGAAAAAACCCACUGAAGAAGAGGAGGGACCAACAAUGAUUUGUGGAACUCUGUGAGCAUGGCAGGCUGGAAGAUGACCAUCCUGACCAGCUGAAGUGUGUUUUGGGACCCACCACCUCCACAACAGCAUCCAACAUGGCGUCAGCCACCUGGCCCGCCUGUACAUUGCCCUGACCUUCAAUGAGAGAACAGGAUAUUUGCCACACCUAGCAAGUGUGGAUAUGAAGUUCAACAACAUGCAACAUUUAUAUUAUGCAAGUAAUUGCCCAGCAAUGAGACAAUAAAGAUUUUCUGAAUCUGAAUGUGCUUGUUAGCUUUUACUGUCUAGUGGAGGUCAAAGAUUUUAAAAACAAAGCACUUAGCAAACAGCUAGUAUUUAAGUGGGCCAAGUCCCGUUCCUUCAAUCUUCUGGAUUCUCACUGUUGCAAAAUUCCAUUAACUUUCCACAAGUUUUUCCCAAAAUCCCGGUUGGAAGAUUCCCCGAAUCAGAGAGGAAUAAGAAGGAAAUCCAGACAACUCUAACCAGGAUACUCUAACCAGAGAAAACGUUUGACCUCUGUCAUUGCCAACAAAGGGUAUAUAACAAAGUAUUGAGAUAAACUUUUGUUAUUGACCAAAUACUUAUUUUCCACCAUAAUUUUCAAAUAAAUUCAUUAAAAAUCCUAUAAUGUGAUUUUCUGGAUUUUUUUUCUCAUUUUGUCUGUCAUAGUUGAAGUGUACCUAUGAUGAAAAUUACAGGCCUCUCUCAUCUUUUUAAGUGGGAGAACUUGCACAAUUGGUGGCUGACUAAAUGCUUUUUUGCCCCACUGUAUCCUCCAUGCAAAUGAAUGUUGAAAGAAGAGAUAUUUAAAAGUUAAUUGCUUAAAUGUUUGCAUGUCCAAAAGGCAUCCAUUUUGUGGAUCGACCCAGGUCCCUUAUGUAAUCGGCUUGACUUUUUCAAGGUGUUAUUACGUGCUCCACUAAGGCAGUUAUUUAUCUUAUAACUUGUCCUUGUGGUAAAAAUUAUGUAGGUAAAACAAAGUGCGAAUUAAAAGUACGUAUCUCAGAGCAUCGUAGCACCAUUAGGUGUAAAAACUUUACUUAUCCAGUUGCGGCCCACUUCUUGGAGGCAGGCCACUUGAUUUCGUCUCUGCGUUAUAUUGGCAUCGAACAUGUCACACUCCCUAGGAGAAGGGGUGACCUUGAUAAUUUAUUGUUAAAACGAGAGGAUGCCUGGAUCUUUAACUUAAAGAUCCUUGCGCCCUUCGGUCUCAACGUAGACUUUGAUCUGAAGCCAUUCUUGUGAUUAUUGUGACUUUGCCAUUGCAAUUGUUUGUAAGCUUGUGUAGUCAAAUUAAUCUAUGAUCAUAUGCUAUUCAUUUGUAUGCUGUUGUUUGUAUGACAUUUUAAUAUUUGUAUGCUGUUGUUUGUAUGACAUUUUAAUAUUUGAUAAUUAACCAAUGAUAUUAGGCCACUCUUGGCCAUGAUUACAGACACCUGUGUCUUUUGACACUACAUAAACGAGUCCUCCCGCAGUGUUUGUGAUUAUACCCUGAUGAAGACAGAUUGGCUGUCGAAACGUUGGUAAUUAAAUGUUUGCAUCUGA